RNAcentral lists this ribosomal RNA (293 nucleotides) under uncultured microorganism. Its description in RNAcentral is "partial 16S ribosomal RNA". It matches the Rfam family "Bacterial small subunit ribosomal RNA", at positions 505 to 796 of the family's 1533-position model. The record is from RNAcentral.
GUGCCAGCAGCCGCGGUGAUACGUAGGGUGCGAGCGUUGUCCGGAUUUAUUGGGCGUAAAGGGCUCGUAGGUGGUUGAUCGCGUCGGAAAGUGUAAUCUUGGGGCUUAACCCUGAGCGUGCUUUCGAUACGGGUUGACUUGAGGAAGGUAGGGGAGAAUGGAAUUCCUGGUGGAGCGGUGGAAUGCGCAGAUAUCAGGAGGAACACCAGUGGCGAAGGCGGUUCUCUGGGCCUUUCCUGACGCUGAGGAGCGAAAGCGUGCGGAGCGAACAGGCUUAGAUACCUUGGUAGUCC